UCCCUGCCGAUGAAUUUCAGGUAAGGCUGUAACGCCUCCAGUUUCCAUUUAUUUCCCCUUUAAUACAACUCCUCCCACUCUGUAGCAUUCAAUCGAUCUCAUCAUUUUCAUACAUAGCCGGCGGGAGAUCUUCUAUAAAUUUGUACGUUUCCAGCGUUGAACAGCGCCAUCUCUGCAAAAUCCAUUUCUCUAAGCUCAACGCUGGCCGCUGCAGGCAGAGAGUGCCACGAGGCUUCUCCGGUUCUGGAAAACUCUAAAUGUGAAGAAAGGUGGAAAGUUGAUGGGCGUUGCUCUUUCACUGCUCGAUAGAAAGGCUACAAUCAAUAUCCAUCGGCUCAAAACUUUCAGGAUGGCUGGCUGUAUGACCCAAAUGUGUUUGAUGCAAAGAUGAGAAACCAAAGCUUCCGCCUUUCAGACUCUCCUGUAUCAAUUCGUUUUACAGAUUAGACGAAAUUCCACGAGUUUCCUGAGAACAGCGUUUUAUCAGACAGAGCUCUACCGUCGAUUCCCUUUUGUUCGGAUGAUGCCUCUUCCGAAGUUUUUUCUAAAACGGCUUUGUUUUCAUUAUACGGAGGAGAUCCCACCACUCAUCACUGGUGCUCCGAUGUGCCUCCUCUGCUUCUUUUUCUUCCUCAAAUGCCGCCACGGCUGAAGCUUCCAACCCUUUCGGCUGCAACAGAAGGGAAGCUUCAUCUUCUAAUUUGUUGAAGAACUGAGAGGUCAAGGUGUUGAGCGUUAUGCUUACAAGAGGGAAAAUGCCACAGUGAAAAUCAGCUCCAAUAGAUAUACAGGUAUCUAGCGAACGGAGAAGUAUCAAACAAUGAAAGUGGUCGUGUUUCUAUGGUCGGGAGAGUUGUUCCCCUCAGAGCGUUUAGGAAACUUGCAUUCUUAACAAGAAACGUAUCAUGGUCUAACUGAUAUUCAUAAACGUUUACCGCCAAAGAUGACUUCUUUCUUCUGUAUAUGUACAUCUGUGGUUCUUAUUAUUGUGCUCGAUCUUUCUAGGUACGUGAAUAUGAUUGCUUUCAAAUUUUAAUUUGAACAUCCAGUUAAUUUUCUGCAUGAUCCCAGGUUUUUAAAGUUGCAGUGGAGCCAAAGCUUGUGCAUCCAACUUUAGUAUUAGACUGCCCAAUCGAAAUAUCUCCCUUGGCCAAGCCACAUCGCGGGAAAGUUGUUUCUAGAACUCUCUCUCCUGGCAAUGACUCGAUUUUUACCAUCUCUUAGAUCAUUCAUCUUAUAUACUGAAAAUAUAUGCAAGUGUAAAUGACGUUUUGUGGCAACAAACAAAUAGCAUUUUGCAAGUGCACAAAACCACCGGACAUUAUUAAACAUUUUGUGAACUAUAAACUCGACACUUACCCACAAUAAGAUCAUCUCAUUAUA
This is a long non-coding RNA of Raphanus sativus (radish), 1383 nucleotides long. RefSeq lists it as uncharacterized. The record is from RefSeq and is a predicted model, not a curated record. The transcript is spliced from 4 exons. Lineage: Eukaryota; Viridiplantae; Streptophyta; Magnoliopsida; Brassicales; Brassicaceae.